CUCCGCGGGGACGCCCGCAAGCUUGGAGCCUGUCAGCCACCUCUGGUCCACGGCGGGGGAAUGAUCGGUCUCGCUGUCCUGCUGGCAAGUAUCCUCUCGUAAGUAAUUGCUACGUAGGCGCCUCGUUCCGCAGGUAGUUGCUAAGUAGUCGUCUUGCUUUAGUGUGAUGUUAGUGUGAAUUGUCCUAAAUAAACUAAGGGGUGGAUUUUGCUCUCAGUGCGUGUGCUUUCAAUUGCCGAGCCCCGAACCCAUCCAGAACACUGAGACAGGAGGAUUCCUGUCCGUUUGAGUCAUGCUCCAGGUGGCCACGCAGCCUCUCCUCUUGCAGACGUGGCACAUGGGCAGCAAGGAGAAGCUGUCACGUGCUGUGCUCUUUACUAGCCCUUUUUAUUCCCCAGCAGUUGCUUUUCCAGAUCAGAAAGUUUUCUAGAAGAAAGCCUAGGUAGACGUCCAUUGCUAUUGGAAGGCUGCAGCCUCAGGGACCUCUGAAGGAUGUGGGGAGCUGGCAGAUGGGGGUUGAAUGGAUUCACAGCAGGGAAAUCGGGGUCAUGUCGUGAGUAGAUCCCGAGAAACCCAGGAUCUAGAUCCCGGGGAAAGAGCUUUGAUGUGUUGUGGUCAUGCAGGGAGAUGACACCACUCUUCUCAGUCUGCAUUGUGGUUACAGUCAACUCUGGCAGAGUGGAGAUCCCUUCUGGAAUGUGCCUUUUAACCAGCAAAAGGGUAUUUUAAUCAGUUAAUUGUCUUUACUUUCAGCAAAGGUCAACGAUCUGGUCUCUUCCACUUACAAGACGAUAAAAACGAAGCUGCCGUCAACGUUGCGAAGCAUGUCCUUAUACCUGUCCAACAAAGACACAGAGUUCAUUUUGUUUAAGCCAGUGAGGAAUAACAUUCAGCAAAUGUUCCAGAAACUCCAUGCUUUGUUAAAAGAAGAAUUUAGUAAUGAAGAUCUCCAGAUCAUAGCUUGUCCUUCAAUGGAACAGGUGAACUUACUUCUGUCGAUGUCCAAGUAGCCCAAGAGUGGGGCUGCUUCAAGUAAACUUCAGCUGAAGGACAAGCAGGGAAGGGGAUGCCAAGGGCUGUGGUCGGAGUAAGCGAAGGAUCCCACUGUGCAGCCCAGUCUGCAUCAAAACUCUCUAGGCUGCUUGACUCUGAUUGAGUGGUGGAGGGGGAGAAAUCAGUUCUGUAGCUUCCUUGAAGGUCUUGCUAUUUGAUGAGGAGAGAGAAAUAACAAUGCAAAAAACCCGUUGCUGGUCAUUCUUGUGCGAGCUCAGUUACUGCCUUUGCCAGUCACAGAGAUCUUCCAGGUUGGGAUUCUGCUUUUUUUUUCAUUUGUUUGUGUAAAGGAAAACAAGAAAG
This is a long non-coding RNA of Nothoprocta perdicaria, 1356 nucleotides long. RefSeq lists it as uncharacterized. The record is from RefSeq and is a predicted model, not a curated record. NCBI's taxonomy places the organism in Eukaryota, Metazoa, Chordata, Aves, Tinamiformes, Tinamidae. The transcript has 3 exons.